AUUUCUUCAAUUUCCUCUAGAGGUAAGUUAUUUGGAGGACUAGAACAGUAGCCAUAUACAUUACAUAACACAAAUAAUCUAUCCAUGUGGUUGAUUACCGCUACAAGCAAAUGUCCAUUGAAAUAAAUAAAAAUUUCCCAUUGAAAUUGUGUGCUAAAAUUGCAACCCCAGCUGAAUGAUUAGUCCGUGGGCCAAAAAAAUGACAUUGCCCCACUGAUUUUUCCAAUAAUUACAGUCCUCUUUGCAUGAAUGUGUCUCUUGAACGAAUACAAGAUCUGCCUUGCAAUCCUUACAACAACAACAAAAAGAUUCUCUUCAACAGGUUUCGUAUCCCCCUGGUAUUGAUUGACAUAAACUUCAAGUCCAUAUCUACAGAAUACAAAGAAAAAUCCUAUGCUAUCUCAACUCUACCCUCUCUAUAAAAAGUUGCUUCAUAUGUAUUAACAAAAGUCUUAACUUGUGAACAGUAACACCAUAAUUCAAAACUAGAACGUUCAGUUUGCAGUGGGGAAGGAGCUACCUGGUAAACCUACCGACAGAACAAAUCACCCCGGUCGUAUAUCUUUUCUGUCUGCGAAAAAGGCUCUGAUUCCCCUGUAGUAUCCACCCUUUCCUUGAUUUCGGACCUGUUGUACAAGAGGCCACAAUUUUGCCUUUGCUGCCUUGUCUGCUGCAGUCAAGUCCUCACCGGAUCUACAUUUUCGCUCUUUCUGAAAGACUGGAAAAACACCAGGAAAUCAGCUCCGAUUUGAUUUCAUUUAAGAAUCUAUUCAUGUAUUCCCAUGCAAAAGAGACACCUGAUCAUAUACAAAUGAUAGUGAGAUGAGGGUGAAGUCCAGGCACCAAAAGAAAGUACUAUCCGGUGAAACACUUCCGUUUUCUCUGUGCUAUGGUUUUUGACCUUCUUCAAUUGGAUGAUGGCCUCCUCCUGCAUGACACCUGUGCUACAUGCUGCUUCCUGUAUGCUUGUGAGGAAGACUCCUUCCGCCACCUCUGUCACCUGAGCCGCCUCCUGUAUGCUUCUGAGGAAGCCUUCUGCCAUCUGUCACCUGACAGACCACCUCCUGCAGACCACCUGAACUAAAUUCAGUAUCUGCUGCUUCCUCUGCUGGAGCUGGGACUACGCUCUCCUUCACUCUCUUGUUCUCUCUUUCUCAUGUUAAACUCCUACGUCUUCUUCCCUAUCCUCUACUUAAAAAAUAGACAAUUCAAGACUUUAA
Long non-coding RNA from Oncorhynchus tshawytscha (Chinook salmon), 1220 nucleotides. NCBI's taxonomy places the organism in Eukaryota, Metazoa, Chordata, Actinopteri, Salmoniformes, Salmonidae. The record is from Ensembl.